RNAcentral lists this ribosomal RNA (479 nucleotides) under uncultured bacterium. RNAcentral's name for it is "bacterial SSU rRNA". It matches the Rfam family "Bacterial small subunit ribosomal RNA", at positions 28 to 506 of the family's 1533-position model. The record is from RNAcentral.
GAUGAACGCUAGCGGCAGGCUUAACACAGGCAAGUCGAGGGGUAGAAGGAGCUUGCUCCUUUGAGACCGGCGCACGGGUGCGUAACGCGUAUGCAAUCUACCUUUUGCAGAGGGAUAGCCCAGAGAAAUUUGGAUUAAUACCUCAUAGUAUGUGAGGAUGGCAUCAUUUUCACAUUAAAGUCACAACGGCAAAAGAUGAGCAUGCGUCCCAUUAGCUAGUUGGUAAGGUAACGGCUUACCAAGGCUACGAUGGGUAGGGGUCCUGAGAGGGAGAUCCCCCACACUGGUACUGAGACACGGACCAGACUCCUACGGGAGGCAGCAGUGAGGAAUAUUGGACAAUGGGCGCAAGCCUGAUCCAGCCAUGCCGCGUGCAGGAUGACGGUCCUAUGGAUUGUAAACUGCUUUUGUACAGGAAGAAACACUACUUCGUGAAGUAGCUUGACGGUACUGUAAGAAUAAGGAUCGGCUAACUACGU